CGCAGCGCCUCUCCUAGUCUCGAUUAAGCGUUGAGGGAGCGCGUAUAAAAGAUGGAGCGUCUUAUUCUCAGUCCCACUCUGCUCUAAAUGGAUUUACGGCCCUUUUUAUCUAUUUGUUACAACUUCACACGUUUAAUCUGUUUACUGAGAAGCUGCAGCGGGUCGUCGCUGGUUAACAGGUGAGCAGAUCCAGAGAAGCUAAAAUUGUCGACCAUCACAAAGCAACAGAUGGAGGUGCACAACAGGAUAUUACCACUAAGAGGAUUCCCGUUUCUUUGCAUGUCACAAUGGACUUUUUGCAGGGACAGAGUCUUUCAUCACGACCCAGCUCCACAGGCUUACUGGAACUGAUGCAGAGUUGUCGGUUAAGCUCUGGGAAACCUACCGUGCUGCUCGCUGACCUCCUUGGCAAACAGACAACCCCGGUGGAGUUUGUUGGGAAUAACAUUAAAUGGAUUCACUAGGUGGGAUUAGAAAGUCCCACUAGUACCUUUUAGGUCUUUAACCCUGGACUUUCACUCGGCGCUCUGAGGUACGGGCCAGGCUGAGUCGAGCGUGUGCUCGCCACAGCAGCAGGCUGUUAAAACGAUGAUGCGGUGAUUAAAUUAUAAUAAAGCGUUAAAAUGCAAAAACAUUUUACUGUGACCUAAAUCACCACAAUUAAAUUUUACUUUAAAAAUCUAACAAAGAUCUAAUUAGGCUUUGUUCACUGUUAGGGAAAAAUACCAGUUUCUUGUUUUUCAUUCAGUUUUACCCAGCGCUCACUGAGAGCCGUUUCUAGCCUCACUACAGAAGCAGCAGCCAUGUAAACCACCUAGAAACUACUUUAUUAUUAGCUAAGUCAUAAAUCUCAAAAGUGUGGUUAAAAAUCCACGUGGAAACAGGAGGAACUGGUGUUUUUGUUGGGAAAAGAAUCCGUGUUGGGGAGAAACACAAAUCAGCAUCCCUUUAAAGCAGCAGUGUGUAGUUUCCUGGCACUGGGGGGCAGUACUCACACUUCAGGGUAGUUGUACACCAUAUCGCCGGGACCAUGGUACCUGUGGAGCAGAAAGCAUGCAACCCCGUCUUGACUCCUCAGACUUUGAUGGUCCUUCAGUUAAUCCAAUGAGAGAAUGCAAUGCUGGUUGUAGUUUCCGUGGUUUUCUACCAGGCGCGUUGCAAGCUUUUCAAAAGUGUGAGUGCUGAAACCCCCACGGGUGCAACGCCCAUGUUUUCUACCCUUUCUCAGUUUUACUUUAUUGUAUAUUUUAAAUUUCCAGUUUAUAAGUAAAAAUGUAAGGGUGUUUUUACCCAAAGAUGAGCCUUCACUAGUGGACUUAAAGGUUUUUCACAAUUCAGUAAAAGCCAAGUAGUACGUUCUAUUUGAUGAUUUCAUGGUGUGCAGAAGCUGUUAGGGAAAAUGAGGGCUUUGUUUUUUCUCUGAGGAGACUUCACCUCCUUUGUGGUAUUAUUUAAACUCAACCUUGAGAGGAAGCAGGUCAGAAACUGUGAAUCUCCAAAGGGAACCUGUAUAUUCUCCUGUGUGCAACAUGGGUUGUCUCAGCCCUUAAGAGUUGUUCUUUUCUCUGUAAGUUUAAGAAAUUGGUUUAUUUUUCACAGAGACCACUCAGCGGACCUCUUCUUUUCAUAACACUUAAACAUUUCACACAUUUAACCCGCUGAUUAAUGGAGCACAGAAGUACUUUCCUGUGUGUGAGUUAGCAGCUCUGAUGGAAGAAAAUCUGAUGGUUUUACAAGCUGUUAUACGCUUCAUGCUUUACUCAUAUGGUCACCCUGUGCUGAGGUUUGCCUGGUGCAACUUCAAAAGUGAAGUCAGCAUUCACCCUGCAGAUAAUCGUGUUGAACUCAGCCAUGAAGCUGUAUUCAGUCAGACAUGAGGUUUUACCAUGAAGACACGGUAACUUUCCAAACCAAAUAGCUUGUGGCAACGAUUCUUCUUGAACACAUUUAUCAGCACAAACCAGAUUUGGUCUGUCGACUUAAGAAAUCCUCCAACAUUUAGCCGGGUUGACUCACCGGGCAUAAAAAGUUAGGUAUUAAAAAUGUUGUGCAAAGAUGAAACAAGUCUGGCGACUUGAAGUGAAUGUCUUUGUUGACGUGUGGUUAGCGAAAUUACGUUUUGUGUUUGCGUUCGUGUAAGCGUUAACGUGCAUGUAAACGCCAAUGCAAAUGAACGUCUGCGUGGCGAGAGGAAGCAGGCGGAACCACAACCGUAGAACAGAGCAGGGAAAUAGAGCAGAAGAGCACACGCCCGCAUAAAAGAAACGUUGAAUAAUUCUGCCUUGAGACGUGUGAGGGCUGUAAAGAGCAGGGGAAAGCAUCCAGAGGUCGUUCCCAUGGCAACCUGGGCCCAGGGAGAUCACUGACCCUCCCGCCACGCAGUACAAGCAGGGCACAGAUUGUAGGUCACAUAUGGCACCAGCGAUCCAAUCAAACCUAAUCUGGCUUGACUUGUGAGUUAUAAAUUAUACUGGAAAGCUGGUUUACACUCUGGCUUAGCUCAUCAGCAGGCUCAUGUGUGAAGAUGUCUGUGUUAAUGGCAAACUGAUGCACUGACCCAAUAAAUGUGUGUCAACCAAUGUAAGUUUAGUCGUCUGGUUGUUUGGGAAAACAAGCAAACAUUGUGGUGAAUUGGCCGUCACGUAGGUAUGAAUGGGCAAACGCGUGUGGUCGAUUAUAACCUAUCCGUCACAUCGGUCCUCCUGGUAACAAAGUAUUAUUAGUUAGUUAAAACGCUGUUUUCAUGCUUUCCUGUUGGGGUUUUGUUUUUGUAUUCUUGUGUAAUUGUUAAAGUUUUGCAUGUUGAAUAUUCAGUUUCAGUGGAACUAUUUCAUUUAAGUAAUAAUGUUAUCCUGAAGUCCAGAA
Non-coding RNA from Nothobranchius furzeri (turquoise killifish), 2865 nucleotides. The record is from RefSeq and is a predicted model, not a curated record. Lineage: Eukaryota; Metazoa; Chordata; Actinopteri; Cyprinodontiformes; Nothobranchiidae.